UCCUCACUCUCAGAAAGUCCAAACCCUUUUCGUUUUUUGUUGAGGUCUGCUGGGGUUUCAACUGACCUAGGCCUCCGUCGAUCACCUCGCCACUCACCUCGUUGAAGCGCAUUCUCUGCUGUCAAAGGCACUGUGUUGUCGGAGGUACCUAGUCGUUGCUGCUCGAAGUGAUGGAGAUUCUGAUUUUACCAUAGACCUAUAUCACGGUGGAAAUUUUCAUGAUACAAGGCACGGUUUAGAAUAUUUUGGGGGGAGGGUGUUGGAAAACUUGCACUUUGAGCUUGAUGAAUGGAGUUUGUAAGAAAUAGUUAGUGAAUUAAAGAGGUUAGGGUACAAAGGUUAUGCUAAGAUUUGAUACUGUGAACCAGGCUAUCAACUGAGGAUCUUAGAGAAUUGAUGAUAAGUGAUAGAGAUGCCAUGAGAAUGGGUAGAUUAUUAGUGUCACAAACUGUUAAGCAUUGUUCGAUAUAUGUUGUUGAUGGAUGUAAAAAAAGUAAUAGUGUUGAGAUAACCUCAAAUGAUGAGGAUUAUGUGCCUAUUGAAGCUAGUGGUCUGAUAGAAGUAGAAGUUGAAGGUGAAUCAGAAUCAUCUAGUGAGGAGGAUAAAUUUGAUAAUAGUGGAUUUGCUGCUGCAAAUGGAGACAAUGGAGGUGGAUCUACUGCUGUAAAUGGAGAUAAUGCUGCUUUUAUAAAUUUACAGGUGCUGCUGAUGUAAAUGUGAACAUAUUUGAUGAAAAUAACCUUAGAUUUGGGAGAGACAGGGAUCAAGAAAGGGCUGCUGCUGGAGCCUUGUUAGCCGACACCAACCACUGCUGUUGCAUCUUCACAGCCUCCCCUCACCACACCUGCUGCUGGAGCUUCUCAGCCACCUCCCAUAGUUGCUGCUGCAGAUUUUGCCUGGGCAAGUUAGUUAAAGACGCACACUAUUACAAUAGGCAACAACUACAAUGCAACAUGGCAGUGCACUAAGAUUUUGCUCUUUCCAGCUGCUGAAUGUCGAAUCUUGAUACGCAUGCAUUGGGCAUGUUCUCCAAAUUGCCGAUAUUCAAUCUCUGAUUCUCACUCCAACGGCAUCACGCAUGAUAUAGGCUCCCAAAAUUAGAAUUGGAUGCCUGAAAAUAGAGGCAUGAUCAGGCAUGAGUCAUUACUCAUUACUAAUGUGUUUAAUAUCAAACUUAGCUAAAUUUGGGGCUAAAUGGAGAAUUUGCAUUUUGA
Long non-coding RNA from Arachis ipaensis, 1214 nucleotides. RefSeq lists it as uncharacterized. The record is from RefSeq and is a predicted model, not a curated record. NCBI's taxonomy places the organism in Eukaryota, Viridiplantae, Streptophyta, Magnoliopsida, Fabales, Fabaceae.